Molecule: ribosomal RNA, 483 nt
Filed under: uncultured bacterium
Lineage: Bacteria
Description: bacterial SSU rRNA
Rfam family: Bacterial small subunit ribosomal RNA
Source: RNAcentral
CCCUUAGAGUUUGAUCCUGGCUCAGGACGAACGCUGGCGGCGUGCUUAACACAUGCAAGUCGAACGAAGAGCGAUGGAAGCUUGCUUCUAUCAAUCUUAGUGGCGAACGGGUGAGUAACGCGUAAUCAACCUGCCCUUCAGAGGGGGACAACAGUUGGAAACGACUGCUAAUACCGCAUACGAUCUAAUCUCGGCAUCGAGGAUAGAUGAAAGGUGGCCUCUACAUGUAAGCUAUCACUGAAGGAGGGGAUUGCGUCUGAUUAGCUAGUUGGAGGGGUAACGGCCCACCAAGGCGAUGAUCAGUAGCCGGUCUGAGAGGAUGAACGGCCACAUUGGGACUGAGACACGGCCCAGACUCCUACGGGAGGCAGCAGUGGGGAAUCUUCCGCAAUGGACGAAAGUCUGACGGAGCAACGCCGCGUGAGUGAUGACGGCCUUCGGGUUGUAAAGCUCUGUUAAUCGGGACGAAAGGCCUUCUUGCGA